RNAcentral lists this unclassified non-coding RNA (329 nucleotides) under soil metagenome. RNAcentral's name for it is "partial contains 5.8S ribosomal RNA, internal transcribed spacer 2, and large subunit ribosomal RNA". The stretch from base 1 to 120 matches the Rfam family "5.8S ribosomal RNA", at positions 35 to 154 of the family's 154-position model. The record is from RNAcentral.
GAUGAAGAACGUAGCGAAAUGCGAUAAGUAGUGUGAAUUGCAGAAUUCAGUGAAUCAUCGAAUCUUUGAACGCACAUUGCGCCCCUUGGUAUCCCGAGGGGCAUGCCUGUUCGAGCGUCAUUUCACCACUCAAGCCUGGCUUGGUGUUGGGCGACGUCCCCUUUGGGGACGCGCCUCGAAACGCUCGGCGGCGUGGCACCGGCUUUAAGCGUAGCAGAAUCUUUCGCUUUGGAAGUCGGGGCCCCGUCUGCCGGAAGACCUACUCACAAGGUUGACCUCGGAGCAGGCAGGGAUACCCGCUGAACUUAAGCAUAUCAAUAAGCGGAGGA